GACGAACGCUGGCGGCGUGCUUAACACAUGCAAGUCGAACGGAAAGGCCCUGCUUUUGUGGGGUGCUCGAGUGGCGAACGGGUGAGUAACACAUGAGUAACCUGCCCUUGACUUUGGGAUAACUUCAGGAAACUGGGGCUAAUACCGGAUAGGAGCUCCUGCUGCAUGGUGGGGGUUGGAAAGUUUCGGCGGUUGGGGAUGGACUCGCGGCUUAUCAGCUUGUUGGUGGGGUAGUGGCUUACCAAGGCUUUGACGGGUAGCCGGCCUGAGAGGGUGACCGGCCACAUGGGGACUGAGAUACGGCCCAGACUCCUACGGGAGGCAGCAGUGGGGAAUAUUGCACAAUGGGCGGAAGCCUGAUGCAGCAACGCCGCGUGCGGGAUGACGGCCUUCGGGUUGUAAACCGCUUUCGCCUGUGACGAAGCGUGAGUGGCGGUAAUGGGUAAAGAAGCACCGGCUAACUACGU
RNAcentral lists this ribosomal RNA (467 nucleotides) under uncultured bacterium. RNAcentral's name for it is "partial 16S ribosomal RNA". It matches the Rfam family "Bacterial small subunit ribosomal RNA", at positions 28 to 506 of the family's 1533-position model. The record is from RNAcentral.